This 451-nucleotide ribosomal RNA is filed under the name Leifsonia sp. SNMS23. Its description in RNAcentral is "bacterial SSU rRNA". It matches the Rfam family "Bacterial small subunit ribosomal RNA", at positions 939 to 1392 of the family's 1533-position model. Lineage: Bacteria; Bacillati; Actinomycetota; Actinomycetes; Micrococcales; Microbacteriaceae. The record is from RNAcentral.
AUGCGGAUUAUUCGAUGCACGCGAGAACCUUACCAAGGCUUGACAUACACGAGAACGCCCUWKAWAUAGGGAACUCUUUGGACACUCGUGAACAGGUGGUGCMUYKUUGUCGUCAGCUCGUGUCGUGAGAUGUUGGGUUAAGUCCCGCAACGAGCGCAACCCUCGUUCUAUGUUGCCAGCGCGUAAUGGCGGGAACUCAUAGGAGACUGCCGGGGUCAACUCGGAGGAAGGUGGGGAUGACGUCAAAUCAUCAUGCCCCUUAUGUCUUGGGCUUCACGCAUGCUACAAUGGCCGGUACAAAGGGCUGCAAUACCGUAAGGUGGAGCGAAUCCCAAAAAGCCGGUCUCAGUUCGGAUUGAGGUCUGCAACUCGACCUCAUGAAGUCGGAGUCGCUAGUAAUCGCAGAUCAGCAACGCUGCGGUGAAUAYGUUCCCGGGCCUUGUACACACCG